AUGGCCACCUGCCUCUCAGACAUGAUUAGUGACCAUUCCCUUGACUUCCUGGGUCUGCAAGAAACUAUAAAGAAAGAGUUCACACCUAAGUGCUUGAGAAGAAUUGACCUCUUUGACAUAUUCCAGUGGAAUUGGGUGCCUUCUAUGGGCAAAUCUGGGGGCAUUUUAUGUGGUGCGAGGAGAGAUACUUUUGAUAUAGUAUCCUGUGCUAAGGGCAAAUAUGUGUUGCAACUAGUGUUGUAUGACAAAAAGAAAAAAAUACAGUGGGGUUUGCUGGUAGUUUAUGGAUCGGCACAUGAUGAGUUAAAAAAUGAAUUCCUGGUUGAGCUAGCAUCCUUUUGUAGUGGCAUGACCAUGCCCUACAUAGUGAGGGGAGACUUUAAUAUCCCGAGACAUUCGGGAGAGAAUAAUAAGAAGAUGGUGAAUAGCAAAGCCACUGACCUAUUUAACUCCAUUAUCAAUACACUAGCUCUUAGGGAAAUUCAUAUCAGUGGGGGGAAAUAUACUUGGACUAAAUACCAGACUCAUCCCACACUAGAAAAACUAGACCGAAUCCUUAUGUCUGGAUGCUGGGAAGAUAUCUUCCCACUGGUCUCUGUGAGGAAAUUAGUUCGGGAGAUUUCUGAUCAUAACCCACUUCUGUUUUCCUCCGGGGAAGAGGGACGCAAAGCCCCGAAACCCCGUGAAUUUCGUUUUAAUCUGUCCUGGAUCAAUGAUGACAAGUUCCUGCCCACUGUGAUGAGAAUAUGGGCUAGGAAUGUUGCUUCAUCAGAUCCAAUUGAUGUCCCGAAUAUCAAGCUGAAAAGAUUCAAAACAUAUUUUAAAGGUUGGGGUUCGGAUAAGUAUGGUCACGAUAAGAAAAGGAAAGAGGACUUACGUAUGGAACUAGCUAUGCUUGAGGAACUGGAAGAAGAAGAUAUGUUGCCUCCUGACUUAUAUAGUAGAAAAAUGGAUAUCAACGCUGAGCUCUAUGAGCUCCUGGUAAAUGAGGAAAUAUUUUGGCUUCAACAGUAUCAUGAGCGCUGGCUGCUCAAAGGAGACUUGAAUACUGACUAUUAUCACAAGAUUGCUAAUGGGCGGAAACGUAAAAAUACAAUCCAAUCACUUAAAAUGGACUGA
RNAcentral lists this ribosomal RNA (1119 nucleotides) under Triticum aestivum (bread wheat). RNAcentral's name for it is "partial small subunit ribosomal RNA". Lineage: Eukaryota; Viridiplantae; Streptophyta; Magnoliopsida; Poales; Poaceae. The record is from RNAcentral.